RNAcentral lists this signal recognition particle RNA (96 nucleotides) under Zavarzinia compransoris. Its description in RNAcentral is "Bacterial small signal recognition particle RNA". It matches the Rfam family "Bacterial small signal recognition particle RNA". Rfam says of the family: The signal recognition particle (SRP) is a universally conserved ribonucleoprotein involved in the co-translational targeting of proteins to membranes. Archaeal SRP consists of a 7S RNA and homologues of the eukaryotic SRP19 and SRP54 proteins. Lineage: Bacteria; Pseudomonadati; Pseudomonadota; Alphaproteobacteria; Rhodospirillales; Zavarziniaceae. The record is from Rfam by way of RNAcentral.
GGAGGUUGGCGAUGGACGGAUCACUCGCCAACCCGGUCAGGUCCGGAAGGAAGCAGCCGUAACGAACUCGAUUCGGGUCGUUGUCCAAUCUCCCAC